Molecule: ribosomal RNA, 305 nt
Filed under: uncultured bacterium
Lineage: Bacteria
Description: bacterial SSU rRNA
Rfam family: Bacterial small subunit ribosomal RNA
Source: RNAcentral
CUGCCUACGGGGCGCAGCAGUGAGGAAUAUUGGUCAAUGGGCUUACGCCUGAACCAGCCAAGUCGCGUGAGGGAAGACUGCCCUAUGGGUUGUAAACCUCUUUUGUCAGGGAGCAAUUGGCGCUACGUGUAGCGUUAUCGAGAGUACCUGAAGAAAAAGCAUCGGCUAACUCCGUGCCAGCAGCCGCGGUAAUACGGAGGAUGCGAGCGUUAUCCGGAAUGAUUGGGCGUAAAGGGUGCGCAGGCGGAAUGUCAAGUCAGCGGUAAAAUUUCGGGGCUCAACCCCGUCGUGCCGUUGAAACUGGG